CCUUAAAAGGAAAUCCUCUUUCCCUUUCAUGCUUUCACAACGACACAUGUUGCUCUUGCUCUUACCCUUGCCCGAUCCCCUUUCUCACUCGAAAAUUGCUGCCGCCGGUAGCUCCCAUCAGCUUGAUUCCUUGAUUCAGUGCCUUGAGCUUGUUCGUCCUCACCUGCAGCCUGCCCUGCAGCUUGAUUCGUUUGUGCGGCCACAUGGCGACCUUCGACGACGGCUGGUUUGUCUCCUGAUCUCCUCGUACGCCUCCUCUAUCUCCGCCUAGGAUGGUAAACGGCGAUGGAGGGGUAGCAGGGCCCAAGGUGUAGCUGCGCAAGGGAGGAGGCGAGAUCAGGCGUGGAUUUCAUCUCCCGCAGCUGCUUUGAUCCAUCUUUACUAUGAGGAUGGUGUAGAUGUUUUCUGCCCCUAAAGCGCCGGCCAGACGCAUCCUCCACAUGGGCAACAUUCUUCAAAGUCUGAAGUGUGUUUCCCUACAGCAAGAAAUAAGGAGGCACAUAACUCGGAACGAUUGGACGUGGGGAGCAAAAAAAGAAAUAUUACCUUGUUGUUUACCGCAAAUAGUAGUAAAGGUCCAACCCCUAGGUAAAUAUCGCCCUUGAUGAAGAGGUUGAAUUCUGGCCACUUAUAGGGUCUGUCUAUGGCGUGUAUCUCAAGUCCCAACUCUCACCUGAUGGGUCUUCUAAUCUCCCUCUAGCUGGCUGACAGCAGAAUUCAUAUGUUAAUAACAAUGCUGAAAGAGCAAUCCAACCAUCCAAGGCAUAUGGUUUUGGAGAUCAGCAGUUUGCAAAUACGGAAGGAAAAAUUACCUUAUAGCAGCUAGCUGUUGGGGUGAAAGCAAAUUGUAAAUUUUUUGAUUCAGUUAUGUUUGCACGUGGUUGUACCACAUCAAAACUGAUAUAACCUUCCUAAUCUUAUGACAAUUCUUUCGCCUUAUUUUUUUUUGUAGCUGAGCGACUGCUUAUAUUCUUUUCCCUGGCGGCCAUACAUGCCUAUCUCUUGUGUAUUCAUUGAUCAAUUUUUGUUGAGCAUAUUAGCUACCAAUCUGUCCUGCUUAGUGGUCGAUCCUUUUAAUAAGGGACAAAGUAGAAGUAACACUGCAGUGAAGAACAAUAGCAUACCUAGCCAUCAAGGCCGGAUUCCUGUAUGCACAUUGAGCAGCAGAGAGAGAACAAAUAUGUUUGAGGUUGAGGAUGCAUGGUGAGCCCGAGGGGAGGCUCGAUCAAUCUCGACAGUUACCCCAUCGUCGGGCAUGGCUUCCAUGGGGGCAUGGAGAUGAUGUUUUUUUUUCUUUAGGAAAUGAUUAAUUAUUAUUCGUUUUUAGUGAAAAGAUAUGGAAGUGAGAUAUGUACGUGAUGGAUGUGAGGUUUUUUUUUUUUGAGGGGUAUGUGAGGUUGUUUUUUUAUGUGAAAAGAUAUGGAUGUGAGAAAUGGACGUGAGAUUGGUUUUUUGGGAAAAGGUGAAUUGUUAUUCA
Molecule: long non-coding RNA, 1477 nt
Organism: Triticum dicoccoides
Lineage: Eukaryota; Viridiplantae; Streptophyta; Magnoliopsida; Poales; Poaceae
Exons: 2
Source: RefSeq, a predicted model, not a curated record